This 500-nucleotide ribosomal RNA is filed under the name uncultured bacterium. RNAcentral describes it as "partial 16S ribosomal RNA". It matches the Rfam family "Bacterial small subunit ribosomal RNA", at positions 30 to 523 of the family's 1533-position model. The record is from RNAcentral.
AUUGAACGCUGGCGGAAUGCUUUACACAUGCAAGUCGAACGGCAGCACGGACUUCGGUCUGGUGGCGAGUGGCGAACGGGUGAGUAAUGUAUCGGAACGUGCCCAGUCGUGGGGGAUAACGUAGUGAAAAUUACGCUAAUACCGCAUACGAUCUAUGGACGAAAGCGGGGGAUCGCAAGACCUCGCGCGAUUGGAGCGGCCGAUAUCAGAUUAGGUAGUUGGUGGGGUAAAGGCCCACCAAGCCAACGAUCUGUAGCUGGUCUGAGAGGACGACCAGCCACCCUGGAACUGAGACACGGUCCAGACUCCUACGGGAGGCAGCAGUGGGGAAUUUUGGACAAUGGGCGAAAGCCUGAUCCAGCCAUUCCGCGUGCAGGAUGAAGGCCCUCGGGUUGUAAACUGCUUUUGUACAGAACGAAAAGGUUUCUACUAAUACUAGGAGCUCAUGACGGUACUGUAAGAAUAAGCACCGGCUAACUACGUGCCAGCCGCCGCAGUAA